Molecule: long non-coding RNA, 2431 nt
Filed under: Scleropages formosus (Asian bonytongue)
Lineage: Eukaryota; Metazoa; Chordata; Actinopteri; Osteoglossiformes; Osteoglossidae
Description: lncRNA (ENSSFOG00015025582.1)
Source: RNAcentral
GGGUCCAUCAGUGCCUACAAUCAGCUCUCCAGUGCCCUACGAUUUAUGAGAACAGGCUCGGGAAGCAGCCGACCAAACCGGGAGAAAAAAUUGGGCGGCCCAGUCCAGCCGUAGCGGACGCCAAGCUGGAAUUAACUCAGCGGUUAGUGAGGUGGACUCAUGACCAGACGAGGCGGAUAAAUCUCGGCAACUGACAGAAGAGUAAAGGGGUAUCAAGAUGUUAUUAACCGACUGCUGUCCUUCCCGGCGAACCACCGUCCUUUACGCUGCCUCUGCCCACCUGCUUCCUGCACCUGCUGCGCAAUGGCUUCGGGGAGCUCAUCGGCGCUGCCUACUGCUUCGGGAGAGCGGAAAAAGGAAACCGAGCUCUGUGAAAAGUGGCCUUUUCAGCCACAACAGGAACACGCUGUUGUACCGGCAGAUGCAACGCGUGCGAGGUGCCGAGUCGGAGCCGACCCAUAGCGACCACUCGUGCGGUUUCCAAGGCGAUUCAAGGGAAGAACAGAGGUGGGUUGCCAGGUCCUUCCUCUGCAUGGUGGGGGAGGCAAACACAGGGAGAAAGACAGGGCCGCUGCACACCCCAAGCAGGACUCGAACCCCAGACCCACCACCCAGCAAGGCACCGGUCAAACCCGCCACACCCCCCACUAUUGUUAGAUAGGUCUGAAUUAAACAAACGUCCCCAAUGCAAUAUUAUUUAUUUAGGUGACAAAAAGGUUUUUUCCAGAAGCCAAUACAUAUUCUAAGAUGCAUUACUGAUGAGCAAUUAUAUAACACACACACACACACACACACACACACAACCACUUAUCCCUUACAGGGUCACGGGGAACCGGAGCCUACCCGGCAACACAGGGCGUAAGGCCAGAGGGGGAAGGGGACACACCCAGGACGGGAUGCCAGUCCUUCGCAAGGUACCCCAAGCGGGACUUGAACCCCAGACCCACCAGACAGCAGGACUGCGGUCCAACCCACUGUGCCACCGCACCCCCCAAUUAUAUAACAUGUACGUAAAAAUGCUGAGCAAUCCAUAGCUAGACAGUGAGGGGGCCUGGGUGUGUUUUCAGCGGCAGAUUUUGGGCUGGAUGGUGCGAGACCCACGCACACUGUUGAGGGGCGUGUGGAGAAGAUCAGGCCCGUAAACGAAAGCGGUGGAACCUGGGGUUGGGUUGCAGAUGCUGUUGGAGAUAACUGUUUCUCCCAUUAAGACUAAAACGGUUGAGCUGAAAAGACAAAUCAAGGCCACUGAGUAGGAAUAUAUCCAGUAUUCGACAAGAAGUGAAAUCAUAGAUAAGUUAAUGUGCUGCAAACCUACAAGGGGGAUGUGGUCUCUCCUCUAGCUGACUGACAGUGGAUAACAUCAUCUAACAUAGCUGAGUUCUUAGUGCACAGAAUGUUCCAGAAAUGGCACACAGUUGAUCUACACAACCUGAAACCUGUUUUGGCCUGGAGUGAAAAUGUGACUAUUUUGAUUUAAAAGGAGAACCAAAGAAUCCUCCCGUCCUUUGCAAGAGAUUAUUCUCCAGAAUAUUCCUUGUAAGGUGGCAGCCAGGGGUGAAAUCGGUGACUGAAGGUCUGAUAAGUUCUAUUGGACCUUUCACAUGAGUUCCUAUCAGUCAGAUGAGAUGAGCCAAGAGGGUGAACGAUUUUGGCCAAAUGAAGCAUGUUGUUCUACAGGAAGUUGCUGGUCUGUCUUUCUGGAACAUUCUACACACAAUUGUUCAAGGUAACAAAGUUGUAAAAGUAGGUUGCCUGUCUACUGUUGGGGCAGCAGGUACCAUAGCAGUUAGUGCUGUUAAUUUACAGUCUGAAGGUUCCUAUUUUGAAACACACUCCUGCUGUAGUGCUCUCGAACAAGGUAUUUACACUGAACUCCUCCAGCAAGAAUACCCUGUAGUAUACAUGGCUAUACACUGGGUAUCCAUGGGUAAGUAACGGCAAGUAAGAGCAGCAUCGUGCUCCAAAGGGUAACUGCCACACAGACGGGCUGGAGACAGGAGGUCAGGUAAUAGACCCAAGUGCGGGUCGGCCUUAUUUCAGGAAGGCUUCACGCGAGGGUCAGAAGCCAGGAGAUCAGAAUGCGAUGCCGGGACUAAGGCAAGGACUAAACGCUGAUUCUGCACGAUCCACACAAGGAGGCGUUUGCAAGAAUCCGCACCUGUGCGGUUACAGAGCUCGCUUUAUACCGGACCGGGUUAACAAGUUGCAGGUGCGGUCGCUCGGCUUGAUCCCGGGGGCGUGAUGGCAACGCCGGUGCCUCAUUCUUCCUGGGCUGUGCGUUCCGGCUUAGGUUUCAAUCCAGCACAGUAUGUGUGGAGGUUGCACGUUCUCGCUUGUGUAUUUGUGAGCAGGGGCAUAGCUAGGAAUGGUGGAAAUAUUGCUGGACCCCCCCAUUUUUUUGAAAAAAUAAAUACACUUCACAGACAUGCCA